RNAcentral lists this transfer RNA (72 nucleotides) under Ovis aries (sheep). It matches the Rfam family "tRNA". From Rfam's summary of the family: Transfer RNA (tRNA) molecules are approximately 80 nucleotides in length. The record is from Rfam by way of RNAcentral. Lineage: Eukaryota; Metazoa; Chordata; Mammalia; Artiodactyla; Bovidae.
UCCCUGCUGGCUCAGCAGUAACAGAAUCUGCCUGUCAUGCAGGAGACACAGGUUCAAUUCCUGGGUCAGGAA